Long non-coding RNA from Mustela erminea (ermine), 1500 nucleotides. RefSeq lists it as uncharacterized. The record is from RefSeq and is a predicted model, not a curated record. NCBI's taxonomy places the organism in Eukaryota, Metazoa, Chordata, Mammalia, Carnivora, Mustelidae. The transcript has 4 exons.
GCCACACCUCAGAGCCCAUGGAACAAGAAAAGCUGCCAGCCAAGCCUGGAGAUGGCCAAGCCCCCCAGCCUGCCUGGCAGGGGCUAUAACGUGGAGAUGACUCGCUGCAUCAGCCAUUCCAUCUUUUCACUGUCACCACCUUGUGGUGACUAUCACCUUUGGCCAGUUCCUUGUCAGGAAGGGCUCGUCUGUUCAUAACCACCUGGUCUUUAGGCACAGCUCAGGUCAGAGGUUUGCAGACUGAGAUACUAGUGGGGACAAUGACACCGUCUCCCUGCAGCGACACCCUUUAGUGAAGUGGCUGGAGUGCUCUGCACGUGGCAAGCAUUCAGACGGAACAGGCUGCUUCCUCUUAUCUGAUCUGUACGUGGAAGGUGGCUGCCAUUUUGCCCAUCACCUCCACCCCCAGCCCACCUGUGACCUGUUGGCCACUCAGAGCUCCUAAGCCCACCAUCAUCUUCUCUCCAGGAACUUCUGGGGACAGUUGUAGAGUGCAUCCCAGCUGAGGACAGAUGUAGGAGCUGGCAUGCUCGCGUCUGCAUGAGCCUUCUCUGAAGGGCUCUGCAGCUUUGCCAAACACCGCUUCCCCCCACAUCAGAGAAACCAGUGACCUGUAUCUGCGAUUUGAAGAGCGACAUCUUUCAUGGCCACGGUGAAGGGCACUGUCUGACAUAAUUGUAAGUGUGCAAUGAAGAUUUUUUUUUGAAUGAACAAAUCAUUAAAUGAACAAAAAUUUAAAAAAUAUGACUAGCCUUAAUGCAAAAGUAAGCUCAAAUAUCAUGGCACCGACGAGCUCACAAAAUCAUUUUGAUGUGCAGAUAGCCAGAAAUAAAGGCAAAAGCCAUCUGUUUUUAAAUAAAGCAGUCCUAGAUGUGGAUUAUAUUUUUGUGUUGUAAAAUGUCACCAAUGGAAAAACAAGGUAAAUAUCGACGUGUACAUAGGCACUCUUGGUAUUAUGCCUUCUUAACUAUCUGUGAAUUAAGUUAUUACAAAAUAAAGAGCUUGAUUUAGGUAAAGCAGUAAGUGCAAGCCCGAUCUGUCAGAAGACACAUCUGCCAGUCGGGGCAUCAUUCAUUGACAAGUCAAUCAGAUGGCACUGUAAGGCUGGUCAGGGCAUUUGUUUAGCUGCAAGCUGCAAAAAUGGCCAUCGAUCAAUCUCUGUAAAGUGGUGCGCCCUGGCAGCAGCAGCUCGGGGGCGGGUCAUGUACCUAAUGAACUUGUGGCUCUAAGAGGAGAGGAGGGAAAAUGGAUUUUUAAUAGCAUCUUAUGGUUAUGUGGCCUGCAUGUGGCAAGAUCUUCCCAGAAAGAGAGAUCAGAAGUGAAUGCAGAGAACACCUAUGUGACAAAGGCCUCCAUAUGACGAUCAGAUAAGGAUGUGGUGGUCUGGCCAACUUUUCAGCUUGACAGAAUGGCUCAGGGAAUAAAGUAUAAGGCUCAGCUUUUACAUGGAAACCCCAUAGACUCAAAGCUUCCAUUGAGAGAGAGGUAUGAGAGCAAGGG